RNAcentral lists this ribosomal RNA (267 nucleotides) under uncultured bacterium. RNAcentral's name for it is "partial 16S ribosomal RNA". It matches the Rfam family "Bacterial small subunit ribosomal RNA", at positions 354 to 613 of the family's 1533-position model. The record is from RNAcentral.
GUAGGGAAUCUUCCACAAUGGGCGCAAGCCUGAUGGAGCAACACCGCGUGAGUGAAGAAGGGUUUCGGCUCGUAAAGCUCUGUUGUUGGAGAAGAACAUGCGUGAGAGUAACUGUUCACUCAGAGACGGUAUCCAACCAGAAAGUCAUGGCUAACUACGUGCCAGCAGCCGCGGUAAUACGUAGGUGGCAAGCGUUAUCGGUAUUUAUUGGGCGUAAAGCGAGCACAGACGGUUGCUUAGGUCUGAUUUGAACGCCUUCAGCUUAAC